GGACUACAGGCAUGCACCAUCAUACCUGGGGAGGGAACCCAGGGGCUUCUGCAUGCUAGGACAAUUCAGGAGGUGCUCCAGAAGAAAGUCAAGACUGGCUGAGUGCUCACCUGUAUUUGAAGCGUAACUUCUGAACGAUGGCUUUCAUCUUGUCUAUCUGUUCAGGGUUGGCCAUGACUUUUUCAGUAAAGGGCACUUUCCGUUUAUCAUCAGCAUAGGGGAGGAAGACAAGCUGAAAGCCUAAAAAAGGCAGAUAGGUUUUCUGAGAUUUGUGUUGUAACUGUCUGUCUCAGUUCCAAAGUCAUCCUUCUAUGUCCUGCAAUAGUGUGGCUAGGGCCCUGCAAACCUCAUUUCUCCUUUACCAGCUGACACCUGGUGGCCUAGUGUGCUCUGACUCCAGAGGAAGAACAAAAGGCAAGAGGAAUUAUCCCUUCCUAUAUAUUUAUUGCUCCUGUCCAUAUUGCUCCAACAAGGAAGGACUCUAUACUUGGCAGCAGAGGUUGGUUUCAG
Long non-coding RNA from Sciurus carolinensis (gray squirrel), 510 nucleotides. RefSeq lists it as uncharacterized. The transcript has 3 exons. The record is from RefSeq and is a predicted model, not a curated record. NCBI's taxonomy places the organism in Eukaryota, Metazoa, Chordata, Mammalia, Rodentia, Sciuridae.